UUUUAAAAAAUUUAAUCUAUUUGUACUUUUAAAAAUUAGCAUGGCUAAAGGAAUUACCAAGUAAUGACAUAUGACGUGCCACAUGUAUUUUAUGCUAACGUACAUGGACCAAUUUUUAAUAAUAUAAAUAGAUAAAUUUUUUAACA
Molecule: non-coding RNA, 146 nt
Organism: Gossypium hirsutum (cotton)
Lineage: Eukaryota; Viridiplantae; Streptophyta; Magnoliopsida; Malvales; Malvaceae
Source: Rfam